Siniperca chuatsi (mandarin fish) is the source of this 3489-nucleotide RNA transcript. It is a transcript of the gene named leucine-rich repeat LGI family member 2-like, with no coding region annotated. The transcript has 9 exons. The record is from RefSeq and is a predicted model, not a curated record. NCBI's taxonomy places the organism in Eukaryota, Metazoa, Chordata, Actinopteri, Centrarchiformes, Sinipercidae.
UAUUCAGAAAUCGGCAUGUUUGCAUGCUUUGAGGCGCUUCUUUGAAAGCAGCAUUAACUGUAUGUGAACCGUUCAGGUUAUCAGAUCAUCUGUGGCCGCUACAAGCAGCCUAUUAAUGCCUUGUUUUUUGUUUUUUUUUUCCCGAUGUAUGGUUGUUUAACCAACAGUUAUCCCACUGGAGCUCUGGUUUAAUAAAUAAUUAAAGUGGACGGAGGGGAGCUGCAGCUGAUUUGCUGAUGUCAGGGAGCCAGUGCAGCAUUUCAUGGUGCAGGGUGUAUACGCGCGGUGCCAUCUGCCUCGAUCGGUGCUCUCAGCAAACCUCACACAUGCAAGCCCGGCAAGAAAGAUGCUGCCAACUCUCAAGAUUUGGGCAUUGUUUUCUUUGUCGCUCUGUUUCCUGUCUCAACCGGGUCAUUUUAAGAAGGUUUUCCGAUGUCCUUCAGCAUGCAGCUGCUCCAGGGAGUCUAUCAUUUGCGUCGGGUCCUCCUAUAUCCCAAGAAAUACCCCCAACGACAUCAGUUCUUUGAGUAUCGUCAAUGGGACUUUCUCCGAGAUCAAAGAGGCAAUGUUUGCUCACAUGCCAUCUCUCCAGCUACUGCUUUUGAAUUCCAAUUCUCUUACAACUGUAAGGGAUGAUGCAUUCUCAGGUCUUCCACAUCUGGAGUAUCUGUUCAUUGAGAGUAAUAAGAUUGAGACUGCAUCCAAAUAUGCCUUCAGAGGACUCAGGGACUUGACUCACUUGUCUUUGGCAAACAACAACAUUAAAGCCUUGCCCAGGGACCUCUUCAUUGACUUGGACUCACUGAUAGAGCUGGACCUGCGAGGCAAUGCCUUUGAGUGUGACUGCCGUGCCAAGUGGCUGAUGACAUGGCUGAAGAACACCAAUGCCACAGUGUCGGAUGUCGUGUGUGCCGGACCGGAGGACAUGAAAGACAAGCGCCUCAAUGAUAUGACCAGCCUGCACAACGAAUGCAUCUCAACGGAUUUCGUCCUCCAUCAGUCCGUGGCAUCCGAGUCUCUGUCUGUUGACACAUUCAGCUAUAAGAAUGAUGUCUAUGUGACUAUUGCUGCUCCCAGCACAGACAGCUGCAUGGUUUUCCAAUGGGACCACAUAGAAAUGAACUUCAGGACUUAUGAUAACAUCACAGGUCAGUCCAUUGUGGGGUGCAAGUCAGUUGUCAUCCAGGACCAGGUGUUUGUCAUUGUGGCUCAGCUCUUUGGUGGUUCCCACAUCUACAAAUUUGAUGAGGACCAAAGCAGGUUCAGCAAGUUCCAGGACAUUGAGGUGUCCAAGAUCUCCAAGCCCAAUGACAUUGAGGCAUUCCAGAUUGGCUCUGAUUGGUUCUUUGUGAUUGCUGACAGCUCGAAAGCGGGCCUGUCCACCCUCUACAAGUGGAACGAUAAGGGCUUUUAUUCAUACCAAUCGCUGCACGAGUGGUACCGCGACACAGAUGCAGAGUUCUUGGACUUGGAUGGGAAGGCUCACCUUAUCUUGGCAAGCCGCUCACAGGUCCCUGUGAUCUACCAGUGGAGCAGGAACAACCAGAAGUUUGUCCUGCAGGGCGAGAUCCCCAACAUGGAGGAUGUUGUAGCCGUAAAGCACUUCCGGAUCAAGGAGGAACUCUACCUGGCGAUGACACGCUAUAUUGGUGACUCCAAAGUUCUACGUUGGGGUGCCAAACAGUUUGCAGAGGUCCAGGCAGUGCCCUCACGAGGCUCCAUGAUUCUCCAGCCGUUCUCUUUCAAAGAACGUUACUACCUGGCCCUGGGAAGCGAUUACACCUUCUCGCAGAUCUAUCUGUGGGACGAUGAGAAGAAACUCUUUGACCGCUUCAAGGAGGUGUACAUACAGGCACCGCGCUCCUUCACUGUGGUUUCCACUGACCGCAGGGACUUCAUCUUCACCUCUAGCUUCAAGGGAAACACACAGAUCUAUGAGCACAUCAUCAUUGACUUGAGCUUGUGAGGGGCUGUGCUUUAUUGUCCCUCCUGCAAUCGAACGUCUUCCACUAAAAAGAUACAUUUUUGAAGGGAAAAGAAAGGACCAGAACAGACUUGAUGAACUGUUAAAAUAUCAAUUACUACAUAGUUUUCUGUCACAAAUAAGAGCUGGGUCAAGUAGUGUUUGGAAUCCUUUUAGUUUCUUAAGGUGUCUUGACUAUUUCUCAAUGGUCUUGUCCUAUUAUCUGUUCUCAUGGCCUCUCAGACUUUCAGAGAUACUACCAUUUCACAAAGAGUGAGAGGGAGAGUCAAGAGGGUGGACAUAAAAAUCCAGCUGACAUUCCUGAGGGUGGAAAGAUUUGAAAUAUAAUUAGAUCUAUUUGGAUGUAUACAUUUCAGUUUAAUGUCCCUGUGCUAAUGGUUUUAUUCCCCAAAAAAUAUACACCAGGACCUGAGAGAAAGAUCAUAUUACUACUGAGUGUGUAACAGGUGUGGUUGCCACUUACCUCAUGUCCUCUUACUCUGCGGUAAUGUACAGUAUGUUGCCUUAUCAGCACUGGGGCUCUGUGAUCUGAUGGGCCCACAGUGCCUCCCUCUGGCUGUGAUAAAGUAUCACACCUCUUUGCUUUUUCCAUACAGGGAAUGUCUUGAAAGCACAAACCUUUAAUUAUCGUAUCUGAGACCCCAGCCCUUAGAGUGUAGCUAAGUGGAAAAUGUUGCUGUAGGUGCUAUAGACUAUAUUGCGUACAGUAAAAAAUGAAGAAGUGGUUUGUUGUUUUAGAAGGUGAAGUAUUUAGGACUGGAUAUAACUAAUGCCUUUUUAGACAAACAUAUAAUGAAAAAUCCCCAUUCACCAGUAGAUAACCUUUUAGUUCGGAUGAACUAUAAGUGACAAAGCAGAUAGAAGCUCUUUUUAUCCAUUUAGUUGAAAGGACCUGUGUUUAGGUGAUGUCAGGGAAGUUAAACCUACUUAAGUUUGAAAAAAUAACCACAGUCGCUGGACUACUGAUGUAAUUAAACUUUUUUUAGUCAGUGGACUCAAAUAAAUACAUUUGAUAAGAGGACAUCAUUUGUUUGUCCAAAAGUUAAGGAAACAAAAUGUUUAUGUAAAUAUAUCCACUUAAGUUGAGAGGCUAUUUCAGUCUGUCUUUCUGUUCUUUGAAAAUACUGAAUGUUGACUUACAAGCUACAAAAUGUACAUAAAACAAGGACUGCAAUGCCACUACCUGUUUGUCACACAAAAGUCUGAACUGAUCUUUGCACUUACUUUAAGAAAAAUAAAAUGUUACUGCAGCUUACAAGAGCAUGACAGGCAGAAAGGUGUUUGCCAAAUUCUUUUUCGAUAAACAAACUCAGAAGUCUAAAAGUGCAUCUACUCAUUAAGUGAAUGGUAAUGCAAAUAAAAAAGAACAUAAUGGAAUAUGCAAGCUUUACAAGAUGCAGAUUCUUUUGUAUGAUUUAGUUUUUAAGCAUAUUGAAUGUUACUCUCAAAAUAUACUGUAGAUUUAAUCAGUUGUGUAUCAAAAUAAAUGUGUAAAAGUAUGAUUG